AGUGAACGCUGGCGGUAGGCCUAACACAUGCAAGUCGAACGGCAGCACAGUAAGAGCUUGCUCUUACGGGUGGCGAGUGGCGGACGGGUGAGGAAUACAUCGGAAUCUACUUUUUCGUGGGGGAUAACGUAGGGAAACUUCCGCUAAUACCGCAUACGACCUACGGGUGAAAGCAGGGGAUCUUCGGACCUUGCGCGAUUGAAUGAGCCGAUGUCGGGUUAGAUAGUUGGCGGGGUAAAGGCCCACCAAGGCGACGAUCCGUAGCUGGUCUGAGAGGAUGAUAGGCCACACUGGAGCUGAGACAGGGUCCAGACUCCUACGGGAGGCAGCAGUGGGGAAUAUUGGACAAUGGGCGCAAGCCUGAUCCAGCCAUACCGCGUGGGUGAAGAAGGCGUUCGGGGUGUAAAGCCGGUUUGUUGGGAAAGAAAAGCAGCAGGCUAAUACCCCGCUGUUCUGACGGUACCAAAAGAAUAAGCACCGGCUAACUUCGUG
Molecule: ribosomal RNA, 492 nt
Filed under: uncultured bacterium
Lineage: Bacteria
Description: partial 16S ribosomal RNA
Rfam family: Bacterial small subunit ribosomal RNA
Source: RNAcentral